AACCUUACCUACCCUUGACAUGGUCGGAAUCCUGAAGAGAUUCGGGAGUGCUCGAAAGAGAACCGGCGCACAGGUGCUGCAUGGCUGUCGUCAGCUCGUGUCGUGAGAUGUUGGGUUAAGUCCCGCAACGAGCGCAACCCUUGUCCUUAGUUGCUACGCAAGAGCACUCUAAGGAGACUGCCGGUGACAAACCGGAGGAAGGUGGGGAUGACGUCAAGUCCUCAUGGCCCUUAUGGGUAGGGCUUCACACGUCAUACAAUGGUCGGAACAGAGGGUUGCCAACCCGCGAGGGGGAGCUAAUCCCAGAAAACCGUUCGUAGUCCGGAUUGCACUCUGCAACUCGAGUGCAUGAAGCUGGAAUCGCUAGUAAUCGCGUAUCAGCA
This 383-nucleotide ribosomal RNA is filed under the name Burkholderia sp. VI20. Its description in RNAcentral is "bacterial SSU rRNA". It matches the Rfam family "Bacterial small subunit ribosomal RNA", at positions 967 to 1354 of the family's 1533-position model. Lineage: Bacteria; Pseudomonadati; Pseudomonadota; Betaproteobacteria; Burkholderiales; Burkholderiaceae. The record is from RNAcentral.